UGCAGUCGACGGCAGCACGGGGGCAACCCUGGUGGCGAGUGGCGAACGGGUGAUAAUACAUCGGAACGUGUCCUGUAGUGGGGGAUAGCCCACCGAAAGCCGGAUUAAUACCGCAUACAACCUAAGGGAGAAAGCGGGGGAUCUUCCGACCUCGCGCUAUAGGGGCGGCCGAUGGCUGAUUAGCUAGUUGGUGGGGUAAAGGCCUACCAAGGCGACGAUCUGUAGCUGGUCUGAGAGGACGACCAGCCACACUGGGACUGAGACACGGCCCAGACUCCUACGGGAGGCACCAAUGGGGAAUUUUGGACAAUGGGGGAAACCCUGAUCCAGCAAUGCCGCGUGUGUGAAGAAGGCCUUCGGGUUGUAAAGCACUUUUGUCCGGAAAGAAAACCUCUUGGAUAAUACCUGAUGGGGAUGACGGUACCGGMAGAAUAAGCACCGGCUAACUACGUGCCAGCCACCGCGGUAAUACGUAUGGUGCGAGCGUUAAUCAAUUACUGGGCGUAGCGUGCGCAGCGGUUUGUAAACAGAUGUGA
Molecule: ribosomal RNA, 536 nt
Filed under: uncultured Burkholderia sp.
Lineage: Bacteria; Pseudomonadati; Pseudomonadota; Betaproteobacteria; Burkholderiales; Burkholderiaceae
Description: bacterial SSU rRNA
Rfam family: Bacterial small subunit ribosomal RNA
Source: RNAcentral